Molecule: long non-coding RNA, 1568 nt
Organism: Cyprinodon tularosa
Lineage: Eukaryota; Metazoa; Chordata; Actinopteri; Cyprinodontiformes; Cyprinodontidae
Exons: 4
Source: RefSeq, a predicted model, not a curated record
GCCGACCUGGAAGUCCCUUUUUCCUGGUGGGAGGCAGGGUGAUGGUGACCCAGGCCGGAGGCAGAGCCCAGCAGGCCCGGAGCAAGAUAAACAGCCUGCUCUGUAUUGUUCUCCCAGUAUCACAGAGAGGCUGUCAGCUUGAGUGAUUGAAGGCUGGACUUCCCAAAAUAGAAUCUCCAAGGCCGGACUCGUCUGUUCCAUCCACCCUGUUAUAAAUAACCUGUGUGUGUGCUCAUUUUAUGGAUUUGUGAAUCAAGGGAGAAGGUAAGAAAGGAGUGUGGGUAAGCAGGGGCAGAGAGAGAUUUGAUCACUGCCCGGGUGGCCUGAGAGAAAGAAGCCACUGAAGACAAUAAUGGGAGGUUUUCAAAGCUGCGAGUCAAACAGGGACAGAGAGGAAGAGCACAUAACCCCCCACUGACCUGCACACAUACACUCUGAUCAGGCUUUCUGAUGGUCUGCAUUACACUGAGCCUUCUUGAACCAACCAUCUCAUGUGGGAAUUGCUGAGAACAUUAAAACAAAUGUCAAUCAGAGCAAACAAGUAGUAUUAUCUGGAAGAUGCCAGGUUCAGAACAAAAUGACCAAGUAUUCGAGGAGGAAAGACAGCUAGAUUUAACCAAAGGUUUAUUUAUCAAGGAACUGCAGAGAACAGCAUCGGCUUCCAAGGCAGGCACCUCUGCUGAGGGAGAACACAGUUCCAGGUCAGCUACCAACAGGAUGCGAUGGACGCCGCUCUGAACUGAGCAGACGAAGGAAGGCAGGAUCACCCAGAGGUCGAAGACAAGGCUGUUGUCGAGGACAUGCUCAGGAGUCAGAGCCAGGAGAUCAGAGAUCUGUAGAGGCUGCAGUAAUCCCUGCAGGGCCUCUGACUCUAUCUGCAGCUGAGUCAGUGAGUGGUUGGCACACCCUGGAAAAGGUCAGCCACGCAGCAGACCAACCCUGUGUGCAAACGCCCUAACAUAAGACCCAUGGAGAGUGGGCGAGAAGCCAAAGCAAUGGAUGUUUCUGCAAACUCAUGCUGAUCCGUGGAAGUCACAGUUACAGAGACGCUCAGAUAACUCCCUGCUCUGCACACUGGUUUACAGUCUCUGCUUGGCGUCCGACUCCUCAGAGGUAUGUCUGCUAUGCUCAGUGCCGCUGCUGACCCCAUUUCCUAUCCUGCUUGAUUCGGAGCGGGACACCUAGUGGGAGAGGACUCCGUCGAUCAGCCUCUGUGUGAAAGAAGCCUCAGUUUAUUGUUUCUGUAAACCUGUUGAAACUCUCCGUAGAGGGCGGGGUUUAUGGUUACAGGGGGAGGUCAAAGGCCCUGUUGACUCUCAAGUCACUUUUGUGAAAGAGAAGAAUAAAUCAUUCCUGCUCUAGAUCUGCAAAUAUUUACUGUUAUCAUCCCACAUGCAGCUGCAAAUCGCUGUAACCUCUUACUUCAAGGAUGAACCAAGAGACAAAGUGUUUCUGCAGAAUGUUUUCUAAGACUGCAUGAACCUAUGUGGAAGACAUCUUUGGUUUGGUCAGAGCUUCAGAACUCUAGAAGCAGGGAAAGGGAAUCAACCAGGAGACCUCUGGGUGGG